RNAcentral lists this ribosomal RNA (253 nucleotides) under uncultured bacterium. RNAcentral describes it as "partial 16S ribosomal RNA". It matches the Rfam family "Bacterial small subunit ribosomal RNA", at positions 524 to 776 of the family's 1533-position model. The record is from RNAcentral.
UACAGAGGGUGCGAGCGUUGUCCGGAAUCAUUGGGCGUAAAGGGCGCGUAGGCGGCUUGGUAAGUCCGUUGUGAAAUCCCUCGGCUCAACCGAGGAACUGCGACGGAUACUGCUUGGCUUGAGUCCCGGAGAGGGUAGCGGAAUUCCCAGUGUAGCGGUGAAAUGCGUAGAUAUUGGGAGGAACAUCGGUGGCGAAGGCGGCUACCUGGACGGGUACUGACGCUGAUGCGCGAAAGCUAGGGGAGCAAACAGG